This 605-nucleotide ribosomal RNA is filed under the name Carabus baudii fenestrelleanus. RNAcentral describes it as "eukaryotic LSU rRNA". It matches the Rfam family "Eukaryotic large subunit ribosomal RNA", at positions 674 to 1235 of the family's 3401-position model. The record is from RNAcentral. Lineage: Eukaryota; Metazoa; Arthropoda; Insecta; Coleoptera; Carabidae.
UCUAGCAUGUGCGCGAGUCAUUGGGACUCAAUAAACCUAAAGGCGCAAUGAAAGUGAAAGUCUGUUUACGCGGACUUAGGGAGGAUAGGUGCGUACAAGUUGUUUACAACCUCGCACUCCCGGGGCGUCUCGCACUCAUUGCGAGGUGGGGCGCACCAAGAGCGUACACGCUGGGACCCGAAAGAUGGUGAACUAUGCCUGGUCAGGACGAAGUCAGGGGAAACCCUGAUGGAGGUCCGUAGCGAUUCUGACGUGCAAAUCGAUCGUCGGAACUGGGCUUAGGGGCGAAAGACUAAUCGAACCAUCUAGUAGCUGGUUCCCACCGAAGUUUCCCUCAGGAUAGCUGGCACUAGAUUAUGGAUGAGUCUCAUCCGGUAAAGCGAAUGAUUAGAGGCAUUGGGGUCGAAACGGCCUCAACCUAUUCUCAAACUUUAAAUGGGUGAGAUCUCCGGCUUGCUCGAUUUAUGAAGCCGGAGAUCGGAUCAAUUAGUGCCAAGUGGGCCACUUUUGGUAAGCAGAACUGGCGCUGUGGGAUGAACCAAACGCAGAGUUAAAGCGCCAAAAUCGACGCUUAUGGGAUACCAUGAAAGGCGUUGGUAACUUAA